RNAcentral lists this ribosomal RNA (467 nucleotides) under uncultured bacterium. Its description in RNAcentral is "bacterial SSU rRNA". It matches the Rfam family "Bacterial small subunit ribosomal RNA", at positions 15 to 507 of the family's 1533-position model. The record is from RNAcentral.
GAUCAUGGCUCAGGACGAACGCUGGCGGCGUGCCUAACACAUGCAAGUCGAACGGAGCACUUCGGUGCUUAGUGGCGAACGGGUGAGUAACGCGUGAGAAACCUGCCUUUCAGUGGGGGACAACAGUUGGAAACGACUGCUAAUACCGCAUAAUGUUAUUUGGGGGCAUCCCUGAAUAACCAAAGCUUUAUGUGCUGAAAGAUGGUCUCGCGUCUGAUUAGCUAGUUGGUGGGGUAACGGCUCACCAAGUCGACGAUCAGUAGCCGGACUGAGAGGUUGAACGGCCACAUUGGGACUGAGAUACGGCCCAGACUCCUACGGGAGGCAGCAGUCGGGAAUAUUGCGCAAUGGAGGAAACUCUGACGCAGUGACGCCGCGUGCAGGAAGAAGGUUUUCGGAUUGUAAACUGCUUUAGACAGGGAAGAAACAAGACAGUACCUGUAGAAUAAGCUCCGGCUAACUACGUG